GAAACUCGAACUGCACGAGGAGGAGGAGGAAGAAGAAGAAGCUGGCUUGGCACCUGUGAUGACCACUCGGCUAAGCUUGGGAAUGCUUCGACUCGCCGUUCCUCUGUUGGUUCUGACAUUGCUGGUGGCUCCGACAACCGCGCGAGCGAUGAAACCGUGGUUCCGUCGCUGCCUGCUUUCCAAUCGUCUGGUGUGCGUCUCUCUGCUGAGGCAGCCGGACGCCUGCCGUGUCAACGCCGACGGCACGGACGACUGCCCCGCCGGACUCAUGUGCUGCGAGGAGACACGAUGCGGCGACAGGCGAUGCGUGCGACAGCAGCUCGUCUGACCAGCGACACCUGCCUGACCCCGUCCGUGUCGUCAAGCGUACGUCACUCGAUCUCGUCCGAGAGCCCCCGAUAGGUGGCGCCACAACCGCGAUGGCGUCGCCCCCUGUGGUCGAGGACAGGUUUUGCGCUUGCCACGCCCCCUAUGUUCAACAGUGGCAAUGCUUCGGUGGUCUCGAAGACUUUACCAACGCCCGUCGGCGUCAGCCUCGCCGGCUCGGAAGUGCCUUUUGGUCGUGUAGAUUUCUUUCUCGGGAUGAAUCCUAGGGCUGCGUGGGGACACUUACACGAGAAGGCACACAUAGUGGUACCGUGCUACGAGUUAUCUCAAGUCGAUAUCAGUGACCACAUUGACCCACAGCAGCACGACGUCGUCGCGCUAUCCACAUCAAAUUGCAGGUUUGCGUUGUGCUUGUUCAAUUCGGGCGUUAAUUAAAAAAAAUUGAUAAAUUGCGA
Dermacentor albipictus is the source of this 782-nucleotide long non-coding RNA. RefSeq lists it as uncharacterized. NCBI's taxonomy places the organism in Eukaryota, Metazoa, Arthropoda, Arachnida, Ixodida, Ixodidae. The record is from RefSeq and is a predicted model, not a curated record.